Molecule: ribosomal RNA, 491 nt
Filed under: uncultured bacterium
Lineage: Bacteria
Description: partial 16S ribosomal RNA
Rfam family: Bacterial small subunit ribosomal RNA
Source: RNAcentral
GUGCACGCUGGCGGUAGGCCUCACACCUGCAAGUCGAACGGCAGCACAGUAAGAGCUUGCUCUUACGGGUGGCGAGUGGCGGACGGGUGAGGAAUACAUCGGAAUCUACUUUUUCGUGGGGGAUAACGUAGGGAAACUUACGCUAAUACCGCAUACGACCUACGGGUGAAAGCAGGGGAUCUUCGGACCUUGCGCGAUUGAAUGAGCCGAUGUCGGAUUAGCUAGUUGGCGGGGUAAAGGCCCACCAAGGCGACGAUCCGUAGCUAGUCUGAGAGGAUGAUCAGCCACACUGGAACUGAGACACGGUCCAGACUCCUACGGGAGGCAGCAGUGGGGAAUAUUGGACAAUGGGCGCAAGCCUGAUCCAGCCAUACCGCGUGGGUGAAGAAGGCCUUCGGGUUGUAAAGCCCUUUUGUUGGGAAAGAAAAGCAGCAGGUUAAUACCCCGCUGUUCUGACGGUACCCAAAGAAUAAGCACCGGCUAACUUCGUG